CGAAGCAACGCGAAAAACCUUACCAGGUCUUGACAUCCUCUGAAAACCCUAGAGAUAGGGCUUCUCCUUCGGGAGCAGAGUGACAGGUGGUGCAUGGUUGUCGUCAGCUCGUGUCGUGAGAUGUUGGGUUAAGUCCCGCAACGAGCGCAACCCUUGAUCUUAGUUGCCAUCAUUAAGUUGGGCACUCUAAGGUGACUGCCGGUGACAAACCGGAGGAAGGUGGGGAUGACGUCAAAUCAUCAUGCCCCUUAUGACCUGGGCUACACACGUGCUACAAUGGACGGUACAAAGAGCUGCAAGACCGCGAGGUGGAGCUAAUCUCAUAAAACCGUUCUCAGUUCGGAUUGUAGGCUGCAACUCGCCUACAUGAAGCUGGAAUCGCUAGUAAUCGCGGAUCAGCAUGCCGCGGUGAAUACGUUCCCGGGCCUUGUACACACCGCCCGUCACACCACGAGAGUUUGUAACACCCGAAGUCGGUGGGGUAACCUUUUUGGAGCCAGCCGCCUAAGGUGGGACAGAUGAUUGGGGUGAAGUCUAAAAAGGGGAACCAAA
This 552-nucleotide ribosomal RNA is filed under the name Bacillus cereus. RNAcentral describes it as "bacterial SSU rRNA". It matches the Rfam family "Bacterial small subunit ribosomal RNA", at positions 952 to 1504 of the family's 1533-position model. Lineage: Bacteria; Bacillati; Bacillota; Bacilli; Caryophanales; Bacillaceae. The record is from RNAcentral.